RNAcentral lists this ribosomal RNA (332 nucleotides) under uncultured bacterium. Its description in RNAcentral is "bacterial SSU rRNA". It matches the Rfam family "Bacterial small subunit ribosomal RNA", at positions 568 to 898 of the family's 1533-position model. The record is from RNAcentral.
UGCGCAGGCGGUCGGAAGGGUGUCUUGUGAAAUCCCCCGGCUUAACCGGGGAACUGCCAGGCAAACCGUCCGACUUGAGGCAGGUAGAGGUUGAUGGAACUCUGGGUGGAGCGGUGAAAUGCGUAGAUAUCCAGGGGAACGCCAAUGGCGAAAGCAGUCAACUGGGCCUGUCCUGACGCUCAGGCACGAAAGCCAGGGGAGCAAACGGGAUUAGAUACCCCGGUAGUCCUGGCCCUAAACGAUGUCUACUGGGUUUGAGAAUCUCUGACGGUUCUCGGGCCGAAACAAAAGUGUUAAGUAGACCGCCUGGGGAGUACGGCCGCAAGGCUAAA